RNAcentral lists this transfer RNA (64 nucleotides) under Theresimima ampellophaga. Its description in RNAcentral is "transfer RNA-Val (GUN)". The record is from RNAcentral. Lineage: Eukaryota; Metazoa; Arthropoda; Insecta; Lepidoptera; Zygaenidae.
CAAAUCAGAGCUUGUUAAAGUAUUUCAUUUACAUUGAAAAGAAAUUAGUAAAAUAUUGAUUUGU